CUUAUUCUUUUGCAACGAAAGCAUUUUAAAUAAUGCUAGUACACGGGUGGAUGGUUCCGGCUAUAUAGUCAAGAUUUUUAAAAACUUCAUAGUGCCUUCAGUCAGAAUAGAGUUGUAGAGAGAAUGAUGUAACCGAAAACCACAAGAAAGAAGAGACUUAUACUACAGCAAACAAAAAAAAUCAUUUGUCUAUAAAUUUCAACAUGAAAAUAACACUGUUUUAUGUGUUUGUAUUUUGGACUAUAUGUUUGAUCACUUCGCAUAAAAUUCCACCACAGUAUUUUAGUAAGUAUUAUAGUUUUAUUCUAAUUUUGAAAUGAGGUUAGAUUUAUACGAUAUAUUGUAAAAAUAACGUGUUUGCAAUAAAAGUUUUUUUAAUGCAUCCACAUCAUUUCAGUGUAUUACCUUUUUGAAUUGUGCGACCGCAUCCGUGUUACUAAAAUCUAUCAUCUUUUGGAAUUAUGUAUCGACAUCAUUCAAAUUGAUAUAUCAUUUUGUAUUUGUGUCUGCGUUAUCCAAUUCAUCAUUUGUCGUAUAAUGCAUACACAUGAUUCCGAAGGAGUAAGUUUUGUUACUAUGCUUUCGCGGUUUCCAGAAAUUCACAAAUCCGUACUUCUUCCUUUUUGUAUUAAAAGAAAGACAAUAAAACUCCCGUCGUUAUACUGGGUAUCUAAACUCAGUAAUCUUUUAACAGAACAAUAUAUAGCCCGCUUGUCAAACUGGUAAACAAUUAAUUAAAUUAUCUAUCGCCUCCUGGAAGACAAAAAGUAGAAGUACAACAGCUUGCAAUGUCUUGUCACCCCAGAACUUACAUGCUAGUGAGGACGUAUAUCACAUAAAUCCCAGUGAACAUAUAGAAUACUACCGAAACUAAUGUUCUGCUUCAUAUUUACAUCGAUGGUGAUAUCCAUGAAUGCUUUCAAAUUGGAAUAUAUGACACAUCUGAAGAUUUCAACUUUCCAAUCACUAACUUUUCAUUUUAUCAUAAGUAACUAAUUUUAGGUCCCAUCGCAUGGAAUUAAUAUAUUAUCUCAAGUGGUACAUUACGCCCGUGCACGUUCACAAUAUACAUACUGCAUGAGCAGAUGUAUGCUUUUAAAAUGUUUAUGAUAUAUCUAUAAUAAUAUUAAGCAUAGUAUGCUGCCUAUGUUGUUUAUUUACAGUACUUUUAGAAGGCCAUAACUGUGUUGAUAUUACUUGAAAUAUAACAUUUUUAUUCAAUGAUAUAUAUGAAGAAAAAAAUUGCAGUUAAGAACUAACCGCUUCUUUUUGUAAAUUUAUUUGGUUGUAAUAUAAAACGUGCGGUAUGGGCUUUGCUCAUUGUUGAAGGCCGUACGGUGACCUAUAGUUGUUAAUUUCUGUGUUAUUUUGGUCUUUUGUGGAUAGUUGUCUCAUUGGCAAUCAUACCACAUCUUCUUUUUUAUAUUGGCCGAUGUACAUUUGUAUGAAGGGCGGAAAUGACUAAGAGUAGCUUUCAAUACUUAUAAUUACAUUAUUUUAGGUGAAUCCUAAACACACGAUUUCUGUAAAGUUUUUCUUUAAUUUUCCUGUGUACUUUAUCGUGGAAGCUCGAAUCAUCAUGCAUAUUACAUUUCAUUUUGAAAUGAAGGUAAAUUUCAUAAUGACGCGAGAUUGAUGUUAGCACAUCAGAAUAACGUAUUGUAAUUAAAAAUGUAUAUGUAAUGUAAUUAUUAAAAAAAAAUGAUCUGUGUAAUAUUUAUUUCAUACAGACAAAUAACCAAAUAUAGGCUUGAUAUUUUCAAUGAUUUGUUAGUACUAAAUGGUACUAUACUAAUGAGAUAUAGUAAAAAGGAAGGAAGAAAAUACUUUUAUAUUAGUCCACUAAGAACAUAUGGGAAAAUAUAAAAUCUUUAGAAAAAAAUUCAAUUGUUAAACUAUAAACCAUUUUUGUUUUACAACAAGUAUUUGAUUACAAAUAAAGUUGUCUUUAUAUUAAAUUGCAUGAACGGAUGUAUCGGAUGACCCUUGCAUGACAAAUCUUAUCGAGAGAAAAAAGGAUUGUGUUACCAUAAUAUUAUGCCCAAAGAUAUAAUUUAAAUGUCCCAUCAACAGGUAUGUAGUUUCUAUGAUUUUGAAUAAGUACAUACAACUUUUGAUAAUGAAUAUUUUUUUUUUUGCGUCAUGCAUUUAUACAAAGUAAUUUAAACAUUUGUUUAAAAAAACAAUCCUGUUAUUAUUUUGAGUUAUUCUUUAGUUUCAAAAUAAACCAGAUUAAAGUUGAAGCAACUAUAUCAAAGACAACAGAACAUAACCAACAAUCUAUUGAUAGUCCAUACAAUGUCUUAAGGUAGAUUGAUGGUAUACCGCCAUCUUGGAUUGUACAAUUACAGUACAAAAUCGGUCUAGUUAUUUGCCUAACUCUGCAAAUUUAGACACAGAUUUGCAAUUCAAUAGUUAGACUGUUUUUUCUAUUUGAAGAAAACUUGUUAAUUAAUCGUAUUAUACAAAAUAUUUUAACAAAUAUCAAUUUUUUGGUUUUAAAAUAAAAAAAAAUACAAUAAGCCAUUUAAGGGGAGAUAACUCUUUUAGUACAAAAUUUCUUUUUAUUUUCUUAAAACAUAUUAUAAAACCUUUCUUCUCACAAUUUAUUUCAAAAUUCUAUUUCAUAGAAUUUUUUUUAUGCACACUAAUGUGUUUUUAUAUGAACAAACUAACCAAAUUUUGGCUAUUUUCAACGACUCAUAGCUUGAAAAAUAGCACGGUGACCUAUUCUUUUUACUUAAUUUUUGAAAAGAGCAUAGUAAAAUCUUUAUUUUGGCAAAUUAUAAAAAAAUUCUGUCUCAAAAAAUAUAUACUUGUGAUCUACCUUAAAAUUAUUACAUUUACAUGAAUAGAUCACGGUAAUUCUUUAGAUUCAAUCGAAUCUGUGUUAGAACGAUUUUUAACAAACAUGUAUGAACAAAACACACGAUGUAAAUAACUAUUUUUAAUUCCGACUGUGGUAGCUCGUUUCUAAAAAGGUGUCAAUUACAAUUUAAAAAGAAUUAAUCACCUUUAAAUGUUCACCUACUACACCAUAAAGGUAAAAGAGGGACAAAAGAUACCAAAGGUACAGUCAAACUCAUAAAUCUAAAACCAACUGACAACGCCAUGGCUAAAAAUGAAAAAGAGAAAUAGACAAACAACAGUACACAUGACACAACAUAGAAAACUAAAGAAUAAACAACACGAACCUCUCAGGUGCUCCGGAAGGAUAAUAACAUAUUAGUCAGAUGCAUGUUACAGCAGAGAAAAGUAAUGGUGAUAGAGAAUAUUUAAAAGUUUUACAUUCCUGUAAAAGUGAGAAACAAUAAAAAGUACUAAUUGUAAAUAGUUAUCAAAAGUACCCGGAUUAUAAUGUAGUACGCCAGGCGCACGUUUCGUCUACAUAAGACUCAUCAGUGACGCUCAUAUCAAAAUAAUUAUAAAGCCAAACUAGUACAAAGUUAAAGAGCAUUGAGGAUCCAAAAUUCCAAAAAGAUGUGCCAAAUACGGCUAAGUUAAUCUAUUCCUGGGACAAGAAAAUCCCUAGUUCUUCGAAAAAUUCAAAGUUUUGUAAACAGGAAAUUUAUAAAAAAAAUGACCACAUAAAAUGAUAAAUGCCAUUGUGUGAUUGGAAGAGGCCUUUGCUGUUACAUUCAUGUUCACCGAAUCCACCCAAAUUCUAAUAUUUCAUUUAUAACAUAAUAACACGUAUAUAAAAACUAGAAAACGUCUGAAAUAAAUAAUCUACUAUUCUUGAACUCAAAAUGUGUACCAGCAUUUCGUGUUUAUUUGAGUAUAGACGAAAUCUAACUAACCAUCAAAGUGACCUUCCGACUUCUGACAGUCAUAAAACACGGCAAAAAGAUAGAUAUAAAUAGAUAGCUAUUCGCGUGCAAUUGAUUUUUUCUAGGUCUGUUUGAUUUCAUAUUAUAGGUUAAACAGCAUGUUAACAAUAGUCUUUACUUGUAUAAGAAUAAGUUUUUGUAAAACAAGUAACCAAAAAAAAAUUGAAGUCCGAGGAAAAUUCAAAACGGAAAGACCUUAAUUAAAUUACAAAAUCAAAAGCUCAAACGCAUCAAACGAAUGGAUUACAAUUUUCAUAUUCUUGACUUGGUGCAGCCAUUGUUUAGCUAGAAAAAAUGGAUUAAACCUAGUUUAAUAGCUUGCUAAACCGCUCACUUGUAUGACAUUCGCAUAUUAUUCUAUUGACACCGUCUUAUUUACCAAUCAAUAACCCAAUCACAUUGAAUUUGACUUAAUCAGGAACACUAACAGCAAAAUAUGUGAAAGCAAAAGAUGAAUAAGUACAGAAACAUGUGAAAAGUAAAUAUGCCCAAAAGGGACCUCAAGUUACAUGUAAGGUCAACUUUGUCUGAGAGAGUUUUUUUGAACAUUUGAUCGGACAAUGUCAGUAAGGUAUGCUAGUUGCAAGCAUUUUCGAAGUCUGGAGAAUCCCGGUGAACAAGUUGUAAACUUCGUUUAGAAUUCCGCUUGGUUAUUCACAUAUGGAGUAUAAGUCUAUAAUGUUAAUUAAUGAAACGGGUUUAUAUAACAUAGGUGUUGAAACGAUUUUAUUUGGGAAAUUUUACGUUGCUUAUAAUGCGCAUAUUUAUCUUUGUCGAACUUCAAUAAAAGUUAAAUGUUAAGGAUCAAUUAAAUUACGAACAUAUUUACUAGCUUUAAGUUACAUUUAAAACGUUGAUAUCGCUUUUUUAAUUGAUGUAUGUGCACAAAAGACCUCAAUGAUAUCGCCAAUGACAUUUGGGUUUUUUGACAUGUGUACAUAUAUUUGUAUAUAUAUAUAUUUUUAAGUUUGAAAGCCCUUCCUCAAUGAAAACAAUAUUCAUGGCCAUUUUAAUCACAUUCAAAAUUAUUUGACUUCCGUGAUUUUGAAAGAGUCAAAUUUAUUAAAGAGGCUAUGUGCAGGGACCUUUUUUGAGACUUAUAGUGUAUAAAAGCUUGAUAUCGACUAGUCUUGGUUGGCUUAGAUGCACUUGGUGGGAUAGAUAGAAAAUUCGGAAAAUCACAUGCACUAAAAUUUCGUUUUUCAGGAAAUACCAAAGAUGUAAAUAAUUUGAAUGAACUAGAACAGCUUCUAAAAGAACGAACAAAUGUAAGUAUUAUAUGUUAAAAAAUAUCUAGCACGUACAUGCAGUACUAUAACACAGUUUAAACGAGAAUGUAAGUACUAGACACAACUUAAUAUGAUAUAAUGCACUUAAAAGACAAAUAACCUGAAUGAAAGAAUAUGUAAGUACGACAUACCAAAACAAUAAUAAACUGUGAAGCUUAAAAAGAUAACAUGCAGGUUCAAAGGCAGCAAUCAAAUGAUAGAACUGCUAGAGAGCAGACUUAUGAUACAAGAUGCAAGGACAAGACAACAACCAAACAUAAGUAUUGUUAGACUACAGAAUAUCAUUUCAGUAAACCAUAAUGUAAUAACAAUAUUAAAACAAAGGGAUUUAGUAUGAUUGUAAAUGUGAAAUCUAUUCAGAAUGAUAAAAAGGUUAGGAUGUAAACAUAUACUGGUCACCAUGGGUCAACGAGACAACUAGCCAAUCUGACUAAAGGGCAAGCUUAGAAACUACAGUCAAUCAACAACAAAACACACAUGGUACGAUUUACAAUUCACAAAAUAUUUAUUUAUUCCAAAUAGGUAUAUAAAUUUUAUGUAAUUAAUCAUGUUAAUUUGGUUUUACUUUUUUUUUUUAUUAACGCAGAAUAAGGCAAUUUUGACAUCUAGAUUUCUAUUCAAAAAACAUAAAAAUGUUAAAGCAAUUUGCUGUAAACCAAUCUUUUCAAAACUGUCAUAUACGCUAGAUAAUUUGAUAAUACCAUUUAGAACAAACACUUUUUUUCCUGAUUUGAUACUAAUUUUUUUUUCUCAAUUUUAUUUUAUUUGACCAUUUUGCAUUGUUACGAAAGGGAUAUUCUCAAUAUACAAAAAGUCACAUAUAUAAUAACAUAUUUUACAGGAAGGAAAAGAUCAAAAGGAGGCAGAAGAAGCAAGGAAGACUUCUCUGCACACAGAAGAAGAAAUGAAGGUAAAGAUGAUGAAAAACACAUGUUCAACGGUUUUUGGUUACCUUUUGCAGAUACAGUUUUUGAAUAAAAAUUGUUUUAACUAUGUCUUUACUAUGUAAUUAAGAUCAUGAAACACUUUAGUGAUAGUUUGACCUACUUAAAUGUUUGUUUAAAAAAAAAAUCAUGAAAUAUAAAGAAAGGAAAACGAUUUGCUUUCACUGUUUGUGUUUUGAUUUUUCUACAUAACUGUUUUUAGGAGGAACAAGAAAAUAGUGAUGAUGAAGAAGAAAUAGAAAGAGCUUCACAGGGAGCGGAUGAAAGGGAGAUGAAUGAUUACGAUAGAAUAAAGGUUUGGAUUUAUUUUAUGG
Molecule: long non-coding RNA, 6377 nt
Filed under: Mytilus galloprovincialis (Mediterranean mussel)
Lineage: Eukaryota; Metazoa; Mollusca; Bivalvia; Mytilida; Mytilidae
Source: RNAcentral